GCGUUAAGUUGCAGGGUAUAGACCCGAAACCCGGUGAUCUAGCCAUGGGCAGGUUGAAGGUUGGGUAACACUAACUGGAGGACCGAACCGACUAAUGUUGAAAAAUUAGCGGAUGACCUGUGGCUGGGGGUGAAAGGCCAAUCAAACCGGGAGAUAGCUGGUUCUCCCCGAAAGCUAUUUAGGUAGCGCCUCGUGAAUUCAUCUCCGGGGGUAGAGCACUGUUUCGGCUAGGGGGCCAUCCCGGCUUACCAACCCGAUGCAAACUGCGAAUACCGGAGAAUGUUAUCACGGGAGACACACGGCGGGUGCUAACGUCCGUCGUGAAGAGGGAAACAACCCAGACCGCCAGCUAAGGUCCCAAAGUCAUGGUUAAGUGGGAAACGAUGUGGGAAGGCCCAGACAGCCAGGAUGUUGGCUUAGAAGCAGCCAUCAUUUAAAGAAAGCGUAAUAGCUCACUGGUCGAGUCGGCCUGCGCGGAAGAUGUAACGGGGCUAAACCAUGCACCGAAGCUGCGGCAGCGACGCUGUGCGUUGUUGGGUAGGGGAGCGUUCUGUAAGCCUGCGAAGGUGACCUGUGAGGGUUGCUGGAGGUAUCAGAAGUGCGAAUGCUGACAUAAGUAACGAUAAAGCGGGUGAAAAGCCCGCUCGCCGGAAGACCAAGGGUUCCUGUCCAACGUUAAUCGGGGCAGGGUGAGUCGACCCCUAAGGCGAGGCCGAAAGGCGUAGUCGAUGGGAAACGGGUUAAUAUUCCCGUACUUGGUGUUACUGCGAAGGGGGGACGGAGAAGGCUAUGUUGGCCGGGCGACGGUUGUCCCGGUUUAAGCGUGUAGGUGUGUGUUCCAGGUAAAUCCGGUUCACUUUAACACUGAGGCGUGACGACGAGGCACUACGGUGCUGAAGCAACAAAUGCCCUGCUUCCAGGAAAAGCCUCUAAGCAUCAGGUAACAUCAAAUCGUACCCCAAACCGACACAGGUGGUCAGGUAGAGAAUACCAAGGCGCUUGAGAGAACUCGGGUGAAGGAACUAGGCAAAAUGGUGCCGUAACUUCGGGAGAAGGCACGCUGACACGUAGGUGAAGUGAUUUACUCACGGAGCUGAAGUCAGUCGAAGAUACCAGCUGGCUGCAACUGUUUAUUAAAAACACAGCACUGUGCAAACACGAAAGUGGACGUAUACGGUGUGACGCCUGCCCGGUGCCGGAAGGUUAAUUGAUGGGGUCAGCGCAAGCGAAGCUCCUGAUCGAAGCCCCGGUAAACGGCGGCCGUAACUAUAACGGUCCUAAGGUAGCGAAAUUCCUUGUCGGGUAAGUUCCGACCUGCACGAAUGGCGUAAUGAUGGCCAGGCUGUCUCCACCCGAGACUCAGUGAAAUUGAACUCGCUGUGAAGAUGCAGUGUACCCGCGGCAAGACGGAAAGACCCCGUGAACCUUUACUAUAGCUUGACACUGAACAUUGAGCCUUGAUGUGUAGGAUAGGUGGGAGGCUUUGAAGUGUGGACGCCAGUCUGCAUGGAGCCGACCUUGAAAUACCACCCUUUAAUGUUUGAUGUUCUAACGUGGACCCGUUACCCGGGUUGCGGACAGUGUCUGGUGGGUAGUUUGACUGGGGCGGUCUCCUCCUAAAGAGUAACGGAGGAGCACGAAGGUUGGCUAAUCCUGGUCGGACAUCAGGAGGUUAGUGCAAUGGCAUAAGCCAGCUUGACUGCGAGCGUGACGGCGCGAGCAGGUGCGAAAGCAGGUCAUAGUGAUCCGGUGGUUCUGAAUGGAAGGGCCAUCGCUCAACGGAUAAAAGGUACUCCGGGGAUAACAGGCUGAUACCGCCCAAGAGUUCAUAUCGACGGCGGUGUUUGGCACCUCGAUGUCGGCUCAUCACAUCCUGGGGCUGAAGUAGGUCCCAAGGGUAUGGCUGUUCGCCAUUUAAAGUGGUACGCGAGCUGGGUUUAGAACGUCGUGAGACAGUUCGGUCCCUAUCUGCCGUGGGCGCUGGAGAACUGAGGGGGGCUGCUCCUAGUACGAGAGGACCGGAGUGGACGCAUCACUGGUGUUCGGGUUGUCAUGCCAAUGGCACUGCCCGGUAGCUAAAUGCGGAAGAGAUAAGUGCUGAAAGCAUCUAAGCACGAAACUUGCCCCGAGAUGAGUUCU
Molecule: ribosomal RNA, 2139 nt
Filed under: Salmonella enterica subsp. enterica serovar Heidelberg
Lineage: Bacteria; Pseudomonadati; Pseudomonadota; Gammaproteobacteria; Enterobacterales; Enterobacteriaceae
Description: bacterial LSU rRNA
Rfam family: Bacterial large subunit ribosomal RNA
Source: RNAcentral